UAAUUGAGAGUUUGAUCCUGGCUCAGGAUGAACGCUGGCGGCGUGCCUAACACAUGCAAGUCGAGCGAGAAAUAAAGGAAUGAAGCUUCGGUAGAUUUUCUUUAUGGAAAGCGGCGGACGGGUGAGUAACGCGUAGGCAACCUGCCCUGUACAGGGGGAUAGCCACCCGAAAAGGUGAUUAAUACCCCAUAACGCAAGAGAUACACAUGUAUCACUUGUCAAAGAUUUAUCGGUAUAGGAUGGGCCUGCGUCUGAUUAGCUAGUUGGUAGGGUAACGGCUUACCAAGGCAACGAUCAGUAGCCGACCUGAGAGGGUGAUCGGCCACAUUGGAACUGAGACACGGUCCAAACUCCUACGGGAGGCAGCAGUGGGGAAUAUUGCACAAUGGGCGCAAGCCUGAUGCAGCAACGCCGCGUGAAGGAUGAAGGCCUUCGGGUUGUAAACUUCUGUCCUAGGGGAAGAAACAAAUGACAUUACCCUUGGAGGAAGCCCCGGCUAACUACGUGCCAGCAGCCGCGGUAAUACGUAGGGGGCGAGCGUUAUCCGGAAUUAUUGGGCGUAAAGAGUGCGUAGGUGGCACCUUAAGCGCAGGGUUUAAGGCAAUGGCUCAACCAUUGUUCGCCUUGCGAACUGGGGUGCUUGAGUGCAGGAGGGGAAAGUGGAAUUCCUAGUGUAGCGGUGAAAUGCGUAGAUAUUAGGAGGAACACCAGUGGCGAAGGCGACUUUCUGGACUGUUACUGACACUGAGGCACGAAAGCGUGGGGAGCAAACAGGAUUAGAUACCCUGGUAGUCCACGCCGUAAACGAUGAGCACUAGGUGUCGGGGUCGCAAGACUUCGGUGCCGCAGUUAACGCAUUAAGUGCUCCGCCUGGGGAGUACGCACGCAAGUGUAAAACUCAAAGGAAUUGACGGGGACCCGCACAAGCAGCGGAGCAUGUGGUUUAAUUCGAAGCAACGCGAAGAACCUUACCAAGGCUUGACAUAUAGUUGAGUUAUUGAGAAAUUGAUAAGUCCCUCGGGACAGCUAUACAGGUGGUGCAUGGUUGUCGUCAGCUCGUGUCGUGAGAUGUUGGGUUAAGUCCCGCAACGAGCGCAACCCUUGCCAUUAGUUGCCAUCAUUUAGUUGGGCACUCUAGUGGGACUGCCGGGGAAAACUCGGAGGAAGGUGGGGAUGACGUCAAAUCAUCAUGCCCCUUAUGUUCUGGGCUACACACGUGCUACAAUGGCCGGUACAACAGGCAGCGAACCCGUGAGGGGGAGCGAAUCCCAAAAGCCGGUCCCAGUUCGGACUGUAGGCUGCAACUCGCCUACACGAAGUUGGAGUUGCUAGUAAUCGCGGAUCAGAAUGCCGCGGUGAAUGCGUUCCCGGGUCUUGUACACACCGCCCGUCACACCAUGGAAGUUGGGGGUGCCCGAAGUCGGUUAGUUAAUCUAUCGCCUAAGGCAAAACCAAUGACUGGGGUGAAGUCGUAACAAGGUAGCCGUUCGAGAACGUGCGGCUGGAUCACCUCCUUUC
This 1518-nucleotide ribosomal RNA is filed under the name [Eubacterium] sulci. RNAcentral describes it as "bacterial SSU rRNA". It matches the Rfam family "Bacterial small subunit ribosomal RNA". The record is from RNAcentral. Lineage: Bacteria; Bacillati; Bacillota; Clostridia; Peptostreptococcales; Anaerovoracaceae.